GAUGAACGCUGGCGGCGUGCCUAAUACAUGCAAGUCGAGCGAACAGAUGAGGAGCUUGCUCCUCUGACGUUAGCGGCGGACGGGUGAGUAACACGUGGAUAACCUACCUAUAAGACUGGGAUAACUUCGGGAAACCGGAGCUAAUACUGGAUAAUAUAUUGAACCGCAUGGUUCAAUAGUGAAAGACGGUUUUGCUGUCACUUAUAGAUGGAUCCGCGCCGCAUUAGCUAGUUGGUAAGGUAACGGCUUACCAAGGCAACGAUGCGUAGCCGACCUGAGAGGGUGAUCGGCCACACUGGAACUGAGACACGGUCCAGACUCCUACGGGAGGCAGCAGUAGGGAAUCUUCCGCAAUGGGCGAAAGCUUGACGGAGCAACGCCGCGUGAGUGAUGAAGGUCUUCGGAUCGUAAAACUCUGUUAUUAGGGAAGAACAAAUGUGUAAGUAACUAUGCACGUCUUGACGGUACCUAAUCAGAAAGCCACGGCUAACUACGUG
Molecule: ribosomal RNA, 497 nt
Filed under: uncultured bacterium
Lineage: Bacteria
Description: partial 16S ribosomal RNA
Rfam family: Bacterial small subunit ribosomal RNA
Source: RNAcentral